AUGCUCCAGGUGAGGCCCAAAAAUGCCCCCCCCCAAAAAAUAUAUAUAUAUACACAUAUAUAUAUAUAUAUAUGUAUGUAUAGAUAUAUGUUCAAUUUUAUGUCUCCUUGGGUUCAUAUAUGGGUACCUAACAGGUGUUGCAAAUUUUCCCCUUGGCUUUAUAUAUAUUUUUUUAACUUUCUCAUUUUCUCUGUGCAAAAAAUAUUUAAUUUUUAUUCAACUGUAUUUUUUUUCCUUUAUAUCUUCUGGAUUUUGUCUUGCUUGGAGAGGUUUUUUUUUGAGGCUAUUUUGAACAUAUUUAUUGAUGAAGUUCAUACAAUUUACAUACAAUCUCUCUGUAUGCAGGUAAAAUUCAAUGAUUUUUGCUAUAGGUGUUGGCAACUAUCGCCACAACCCAGUUUUAGAAGUCUACAUCACUUCAAAAAGCUCCCUGUUUACAAUUCCUUCUCACAUCCACUCCAAGGCCCAGACACACUGAUCUGCUUUCUCUCUACAAAACUGCCUUUUCUUGAUAGUUCAUGUAGAUGGAAGCCCAUGACAGGACCUGUUGUCUUUUCUGUCUGGCUGCUUUCGCUUAGUAUUAGAGUUGUGAAAUUCAUCCAUUUAAGCAUGUUUCAUCCUUGCCUUUAAAUGCGUUUCAGUUGUUCUGCUUUUUAGGUGCAUGAUAUUCCAGUGCAUAGAUACAAUUAGUACACUUUGUUUAUUCAUUAAUGGAGAGGUAUUUGGAGAGGAUUUUCAAUUUUUGACUCUUAUGACUAAUACUGCUCUGAACAUUUGCACACAUAUAUUUGUGAGGACUUAGUUAUUUCUCUAGGGUAGAUUCCAAGGGAAAAAAAACUGGUGGAUCAUUUGUCAAAUGAAUGUUUUUUAACUUUUUAAGAAAUAGCCAGGGUGUUUCUAUCAUAGUUCAGCAGAGAUGACCCCGACUUGUAUCCAUGACGAUGUGGGUUUGAUCCCUGGCCUCAAGGAUCCCGUGUUGCCAUGAGCUGUGGUGUAGGUCACAGAUGUGGCUUGGAUCUGGCAUUGCUACGGCUGUGGCAUAGGUCAGCAGCUGUAGCUCCAAUUCAACCCCUAUCCAGGAAACUUCCAUAUGCUGCACCUGCAGCCCUAAAAAUUUUUUUUUUUUAAUUUAAAGAAAUUGCUCAAGGGUUUUCCAAAAUUUUUUUAACAUUAUACACUCCCAUUAGUAACACAUCAGGGAUUAGAAAGGUUUUUUCCUUAAAUAUAAUUAUAACAAUGAAGAUGAUAGUAACGGAAAUCAUAAUAAACAUAGUUAAUUUUUACA
This 1285-nucleotide long non-coding RNA is filed under the name Sus scrofa (pig). RNAcentral describes it as "lncRNA (ENSSSCG00025032709.1)". The record is from RNAcentral. Lineage: Eukaryota; Metazoa; Chordata; Mammalia; Artiodactyla; Suidae.